GAUCAUGGCUCAGGAUGAACGCUAGCUACAGGCUUAACACAUGCAAGUCGAGGGGCAUCAGGGUGUAGCAAUACACCGCUGGCGACCGGCGCACGGGUGAGUAACACGUAUCCAACCUGCCCUUUACUCGGGGAUAGCCUUUCGAAAGAAAGAUUAAUACCCGAUGGCAUAACAUGACCUCCUGGUUUUGUUAUUAAAGAAUUUCGGUAGAGGAUGGGGAUGCGUUCCAUUAGGCAGUUGGCGGGGUAACCGG
Molecule: ribosomal RNA, 253 nt
Filed under: uncultured bacterium
Lineage: Bacteria
Description: partial 16S ribosomal RNA
Rfam family: Bacterial small subunit ribosomal RNA
Source: RNAcentral